CAUUUUGUGCAGUGGUAGUAUCCUAGCCAAUGAGGUUUAUUUGAGGCGUGAUUAUUGCUAAUUAAAAAUGAGUUUCUUAAAGACAUUUUGGGAGAAAAAUAUGAAUAAGUGUUAGAAACU
RNAcentral lists this small nuclear RNA (120 nucleotides) under Mesocricetus auratus (golden hamster). Its description in RNAcentral is "U4 spliceosomal RNA". It matches the Rfam family "U4 spliceosomal RNA". From Rfam's summary of the family: U4 small nuclear RNA (U4 snRNA) is a component of the major U2-dependent spliceosome. The structure of U4 snRNA from yeast and human has been reported. Lineage: Eukaryota; Metazoa; Chordata; Mammalia; Rodentia; Cricetidae. The record is from Rfam by way of RNAcentral.